This is a long non-coding RNA of Xenopus tropicalis (tropical clawed frog), 676 nucleotides long. RefSeq lists it as uncharacterized. The record is from RefSeq and is a predicted model, not a curated record. NCBI's taxonomy places the organism in Eukaryota, Metazoa, Chordata, Amphibia, Anura, Pipidae. The transcript has 2 exons.
GGGCUCCUAUAUUUUAUUAAAUCAAUAAUGAAACCUUUUCUUCUAGUAGAGGAAACAGCCUAAUUAGCUUAGCAUCUGGUUGUCUGGUCCAAACAAUAGGAGUUUCCUAAUUUGGGGAAACAAAGGUACUGCUCUGGGAAAGGUUCGGUCACACCUAAACUCUAAUUAACAUUAUCAAAGGAUGAGGGACACUGGAGCCAGCACUGAAUGGAUCCCUGGUGAUAUGCAUAAUCAGUUAGCCAGGAAAGAGACGUUGCGGAGACGCAAACAUGACAACAUGAAAUAUCCAAAAUGGAGGACGGGUAACUUCCUGUAACUGACUGGUAUGUGCUAGCAUCAUUCAAAUGGACCAAUCAGGAGAGACUUCUAGAAAGUUCUAGACUCCACCCCUCUCUCCUGUAUAUAGGUUGGUUUAAGUGGGGCAUAGGUAGACUCAGGGCCAGGAGAGGAGUGACCACCUUACCAAAUCAGAGGGAAUGCUGACAUCAUGGACCAGGCACUUAUCAAACCUAAGGAGAGGUAUACUUAGGCUGUAUAAUCUUCUAGAGUAGAGGUUUCAUAGAGUGUGUUUAUAUGGUGUGGUGUGGGAUAUUAUUAUUUAGGUGGUUGGGUCCCUGUGUUUCAUUUGAAUGUGUUUAGUUAAGUUAGUAUUGCGUAUAUUUGUAGUGUAUUGUUU